RNAcentral lists this ribosomal RNA (465 nucleotides) under uncultured bacterium. RNAcentral's name for it is "partial 16S ribosomal RNA". It matches the Rfam family "Bacterial small subunit ribosomal RNA", at positions 339 to 795 of the family's 1533-position model. The record is from RNAcentral.
CUACGGGAGGCACCAGUGGGGAAUAUUGGACAAUGGGGGAAACCCUGAUCCAGCAAUGCCGCGUGUGUGAAGAAGGCCUGCGGGUUGUAAAGCACUUUCGGUUGGGAGGACUGCUUCUAGCACUAAUAUUGUUGGAAGUUGACGUUACCUUCAGAAGAAGCACCGGCUAACUCCGUGCCAGCAGCCGCGGUAAUACGGAGGAUGCAAGCGUUAAUUGGAAUUACUGGGCGUAAAGCGCGCGUAGGCGGCUAGAUCAGUCGGGUGUGAAAGCCCCGGGCUUAACCUGGGAACUGCAUCCGAUACUGUCUAGCUUGAGUACAGGAGAGGAGAGUGGAAUUCCACAUGUAGCGGUGACAUGCGUAGAUAUGUGGAGGAACACCAAUGGCGAAGGCAGCUCUCUGGCCUGAUACUGACGCUGAGGUGCGAAAGCGUGGGGAGCAAACAGGAUUAGAUACCCCCGUAGUC